This 497-nucleotide ribosomal RNA is filed under the name uncultured bacterium. RNAcentral's name for it is "partial 16S ribosomal RNA". It matches the Rfam family "Bacterial small subunit ribosomal RNA", at positions 28 to 507 of the family's 1533-position model. The record is from RNAcentral.
GACGAACGCUGGCGGCGUGCCUAAUACAUGCAAGUUGAGCGAUGAAGAUUGGUGCUUGCACCAAUUUGAAGAGCAGCGAACGGGUGAGUAACGCGUGGGGAAUCUGCCUUUGAGCGGGGGACAACAUUUGGAAACGAAUGCUAAUACCGCAUAACAACUUUAAACAUAAGUUUUAAGUUUGAAAGAUGCAAUUGCAUCACUCAAAGAUGAUCCCGCGUUGUAUUAGCUAGUUGGUGAGGUAAAGGCUCACCAAGGCGAUGAUACAUAGCCGACCUGAGAGGGUGAUCGGCCACAUUGGGACUGAGACACGGCCCAAACUCCUACGGGAGGCAGCAGUAGGGAAGCUUCGGCAAGGGACGAAAGUCUGGCCGAGCAACGCCGCGUGAGUGAAGAAGGGUUUCGGAUCGUAAAACUCUGUUGGUAGAGAAGAACGUUGGUGAGAGUGGAAAGCUCAUCAAGUGACGGUAACUACACAGAAAGGGACGGCUAACUACGUG